Molecule: long non-coding RNA, 3260 nt
Organism: Ostrinia furnacalis (Asian corn borer)
Lineage: Eukaryota; Metazoa; Arthropoda; Insecta; Lepidoptera; Crambidae
Exons: 2
Source: RefSeq, a predicted model, not a curated record
GUGGUGGUGACGACGGCUCCGAAGAAGGCUCCAGGAGCGGCAAGUCGAAGCUGGAGGCGCUCACAGAUGAAGCCAAGUUAGGCAACGUGACUGCAGUCGUUGGAAAGGUUGGCGGUCUCUUUGGCCGCGGCAUCGGAGAACUGUCAUCAAAAAUCGGCGGGGCGUCUUCUUGGUUUUAGCAUAUUAAAAGCCCUAGCACAUUCGUUUACGUUAAAAUUCCUUUCUUUGCCUAUAUCGAUGUACUGAGAUAGAGAAUUCCAGCUGCUUUUUGUCAAUACACCGAUUCAAACAUCGAAGCAUCGACAAAAAGCAAUCAACUGUUCUGUGAUGACGUUUCAAAAUUUUUCUUUUUUGCAAUCGAUUACAUUCUAGAAUGUCAGCCAUUUUGGAAAUAGUUAAUCGAAAAAUGGCGUCUUACGCGCUAAUUUAAAUAUAAGUGGCCAGUUCGCAUAGCUUAGUAUGAUUAGUGUAAAACGAGGUGUAGAUUUUAUUUUAUAAAAGCUUUAUGUACAGUUAGGAUCAUCAUUCGUUUAUUAUUGGAUCAAAAUAACAUUGUAAUAGGUGUUAAGAGUAGUAUUUGAUAUCACAAAAUUGAAUAUUAUAAAAAUUAUAUACUACGAAUGCAUACAUAAACACAAUGCUACAAUAAUAAAACAUAUCGCUUUGGCAAAAAUUACGUUGUGUGUUAAUAAAUUACGGUAUAUUAUUUAUGUUAUUUACAAAAUUAUAAAUAUUAUAAAAUAUUGGGUAAUUCGAGCGAUUUGGGAGUGUUUUUAAAGGGAGAAAGCGAUCCUUUUGAAAUUAGUUGCCGAAUUUUCGUUGAUAAAACUUUUAAAUACCUACUUACUAACUACCUGCUGUUAGAAUCAAAUAUUUUAUAGAUGUUUAAUCAAUGUUUCUUGUGUGUUAACAAUAACAUUCAGUGUUACUUCAUUAUUUCACAGUUUCUCACCCAUUUCCACAUUAACGUGUGACAUAACAUAGCCAUAAUAGCACAUAGUUUUUACAGAAAAAUGUUACGAAAUUUUUAAUUCAUCUCUUUCUAUUCAGAAGCAGUAUUUUUCUAAAUAUCCUACAAUCCUCUUUUUAAAUAUCGGUUGAUGUUAAAACUUGAAACUAACUUUUUCAUGUGCAUUUUUAUAAAAAUAAUAAUGGCGCGAGAUUUUGCAAAUUAUUUUUCGAACACAAGUGUUGCCAGUAAAGAAUGAUUUCCCCAUUUUGAGGGUAGUUUUUAUAAAAAUGCACGUUUUACUAGCCACUUUUGCUGUAGUAAUUAUUCUCUAUUAUAUUUUAAUGCUCUGUAGAUUCUAAUAACGAUCUAGUAACGUUUUACCUUGACUAGUCGUCAAAAUAAUACAUAACUAUUUAUUAAAAAAAUACUAUUAUAGUUAUAUUUGUUAACAAAAUAAUAUUCUUCUACGCUAAACACCUUACAAAUUUUUGAACUAGAAAAUUUAAAGUUCUUAGAUAAAACUUUGAAAAUUUAAAUAGCGUUUAGUCGCUAUGCUGAGUCGCCUUAAAUUGUCUUGUGAGAAACGGCUUAAGAAAUAGAUACAGAAUUAUAAGAGUUUGUUAAAUGAACAUUAUAUUAAUUGGAUGAAUGAACAUUAUAUUAAUUGAUAACAAGACAAAUAUUUUUACACACGUUACUUAUAAUUUUAAUGACGGUGCUUGCUCUUACAGAAUAACGAAUGGUUUUUCAAAAAACCAUUAUUUUCCACGUAAAAAAGUAUUAAAUAUCUUUUCAAUACGAGUAAUAACAUAAAAAAACGGUUUAUAAAUAAGGGUGAACAUCGUCUAAUACAGUUUCAUACUAUACUUAACCUUAAGAGAUGUUAUUUUCCACUCCAGAGCUUUUGUUUAUUUUAUUUAUCUUUCAAUAAACAAUAAUAAUUAUUUUCUACAAUAAUAAUAUACCAUUCAUUAAAAAGAACGUUAAGGGAAUUAUAACAAUCGUGAAUAAAUAACUAGCUGCUAUAAUGAAAGAAUCUAAUAAUUAUAAAUUAAACCAAUUAAAAGUAAAGAAGCAGAAAGUCUUACAACUACUUUCCCUUCCUUUAAAAUAGGAAUUUAAUGUUGUUUGAUAUCCAGAUUGUCCACAUAAAAUAUACCAUGCAAGAUCAAGGGUAAUUCUGUCUAUGCUUUACCUACUACCUAUAAUGAGUUACCUUUAUGAGUUGUAAUACUUAUUAUGUAAUAUAAUUAUGUUAAAGUAUACCAUCAUUAUAAUUAAUUUCCAAUACUGCUUCUUUCUUAUGGCAAAAAGUUAAAUUUUCCCGUAUCUAGCAUGCAUGACUGUAUGAAAUAACUUAUGUAGGACAGUAACAACUUGGCACAGAUGUAAAAGAAAUAAGUAGUGCUCACUUAAUAAUAGUUGAUUAGAUGUCAUGUAAUCGCUGUUUUUAAGCAUAAACUUUGUUUAUCACGAUACGUGAAUCAUUUGAGACUUCUAUCCUGUUGAGUUUUUAAAUUAUUGAUGUUGCAAAAUACUUUAUUCUGGCACUUAUUUCAUCGGUAUGCACGAUUACAAAAUCAAACUAUUUGCUUAUCACCCAACCUAUUUUGUUCAUUAUUAUUUUUAUGAAUAAGUAUCUACCUAACUUUUUUAAAGUACCUUCCUAAAUGGUCCCAAAUUAUCACAAUGUUGUGAUAUUACUGAGGUAGAAGUAGAAUGAUCGAAGAAAAAAAUUUUUUCUUAGAAAUUACUUACUUAUUACACAUUAAGUGAAUUAAAUAUUAAUAAUAAAUGUACCUUUUCUUAUUAACCAUUUUGUAAUCGUAUAUACCGGACAUUCUAAUUAAUAUUUCACCUUUAUCACUAAUACUUUGGUUGGGUAUCGAGCUCAAUUGGAUGAUAAAGUCAGUUGCAUAGUAUCUAAGUGCAUAAUAAUACGAGCCGACUGAAGAUGUAUCGUGUAGAGUUGCUUGUAUAAUUUUGCAAACGAUUGUAGAAACUCGCUAUGGCAGAUUUAAUUAAUAUCGCGUGUGCCUAAAACAUAUUCAAUAACCUCCUCCUUUUUGAAGUCUGUUAACAAACUAACUCAUGGUUUCUUGUCACCAUUUUCUGCUAACAAACAUUUAGACUAUACGAUAAAAUAGCUUGGUUGACCAGUAACCGGAGUACUUACCUAUAUUCUUUCCCUUCCAAUUAGGCAGGUAGCUACUUACCUAUCUCAACAACUCUAAACCUUAACUUGUAACUCCUCCGCCAUGGCGAAUUUCAACGAAAGCUUUGAAAAGCCAUCGAGUGCAUCGCGAGU